Gasterosteus aculeatus aculeatus (three-spined stickleback) is the source of this 1292-nucleotide long non-coding RNA. The record is from Ensembl. NCBI's taxonomy places the organism in Eukaryota, Metazoa, Chordata, Actinopteri, Perciformes, Gasterosteidae.
GUGGGCUUCCGAGUAAAGGGUGCAGGGGCCGGCCUCGCACGCGCACGCCGCAUCCGCCUCCUCGCCACUCGCUUCCCCCUGAGACGCACAGACGAAUGUUAGUCCCGCGUCCCUGUCGUGGUUGGGUCACUGAUAUUUAAGGUCUGUAAACAUGAUCGGUCUGCUUGUUUCGCCCUAUGGGGAUGCCCGGUUGUGCAGGUGACGGGUGCAAAUGAAUGACCUCACCCCACAGUCGUUGUCGGACGUCUCUCCGGAGGAAAAGAGGCCGCGGGGGUCAGGUUCCGUCCGCAGCAUGACCUCCGACCCGGCUCACGCGCUCCACGUAGACCUGCUGCAGCGCACGAACAGCUCGGUAACAGGUCGACACGACGAGUCCAACUCGUUAAAGGCGAGAAAAUGUACGAUAAUCAUCUGUGCAGGCGAUCCACUAGUGACACGUUGUUUUUUUAACAAACUAAAUUCUGUUGUCUCAUUUAGUGAUUUGAAGCCAAAUGAAGGAAGCUCUUGUAAUUGGUUCCGUUUUGUAAUAACAAUAAUAUCUUGGUAAUGACUUUACUUACACAUGUUUUAUCAAUAAUACAGGCCUUUUUUAAUUUAUUUUUUUCAAUUAAAUUGAAUUUUAUUCCAUUUCUUAUUCGGUGGUGAGACGAUGCCUUCUUUGCGCAACAUCAACAACUGUAACAUCUGCUCAGCGGCGUCGGCACGCGCGUUACGUAACAGCCUGUACGACGCUCAAUGUCAGAGCGGGGCAACUUUUCAAAAACGACACGGGGGGGGGGGGGUUACAUUCAAACACAUAAAAUCAUUAUCAUUAAACACAUAAUCAUUAUUAUUAAAAUAACUUAUUUCCGAGCAAUAACAAAAUAAAACAGAGUAACCCAUUUUAUUUUGUUGUUGUUGUUUUUUUUACCUCAUGCGCAUCCCGUGGCGGAACAUGGAGCAAACCGGUGAAAGUGAUUAUUCAGAGGAUGAGCGCGCGGCGACGCUUCUCGUUGUGGCGGCUCGCGGGGGCCGGCGGCUCGCGCUGCUGUGCGAUGUUUGACAUUGUGGAAAAUCCUCCCGCGUGAUGUCCGCCCGAGCGAUGACACGCAGCUCCGCGGUCCGGUGCGAAGCGCGCUCACCGGCAUGCCGAGUGGACCCGAAGCAAACCGCGGGAGCGCGCAAAGCGGCGGCGGCGGCGACUUCCGUUCGGGGCUUUCGAAAUAAAAGGGGGCGUUGAAGGACAGCAAACAGGUUUGUGGUUCGAUUCCAGACUGCCCCAUGUUCCAUGUCAAAGUGUCCCUGAGCAAGAC